AGGGCGACCCCGGACAGCUGCCGGACCCCCGACCUGGCAGCUGUGCGGGGUCACUUC
RNAcentral lists this small RNA (57 nucleotides) under Nakamurella multipartita DSM 44233. RNAcentral describes it as "F6 TB sRNA". It matches the Rfam family "F6 TB sRNA". Lineage: Bacteria; Bacillati; Actinomycetota; Actinomycetes; Nakamurellales; Nakamurellaceae. The record is from Rfam by way of RNAcentral.